CGGUCUCUGUUUGGAAAAAAUAUAUUAGGCACAAUGGGUACUUGCUUCCAUUUGUGUAAUCUGAAGCUUUUAUUUAGCAUGUUCAAAAACAAAAUAAAUGAGAAUAUACGUUUUAUUCAAACUGUUAAAUUGUGACUAUUUUUUUAAUGAAAAUCUGUUUGUCCCAGUUAUCUGUAUGGAUAAAAACUGCAUAUGUGACACCAUAGUCAUGACUGAAUUCAGUCAUCUUGCACUACAACUUUCAUCUUAAUUUAUUUGAAUAUUCAAUUGAUAAUACAUUAAAAAUUAGAGAUUGGUAGCAGUUGGGUGUGUGCAAUAUCCUACACAACAAGUAAAUGCUCUGAGGGGUAUAUACAGUUUUUACAGAAGUGCAUAAGAAAACUGUUGACUGAAUUCAGUCAAUUUACAAACAUCAAGAAUCAUCUUCCUUUUUUCAAAACUAGAUUAUAGUAUUAUAGAAAAAAAAUUCCAAGUUGAUUCUAAAUAUACAUAUUAAUGUUAACAAUAACGAAAAUCUUGACUGAAUUCAGUCACUGGCACCAUUAGUCAUUGACAUUAUCAAG
RNAcentral lists this long non-coding RNA (563 nucleotides) under Mytilus galloprovincialis (Mediterranean mussel). The record is from RNAcentral. Lineage: Eukaryota; Metazoa; Mollusca; Bivalvia; Mytilida; Mytilidae.